AAUUCGAUUAGAGUUUGAUCCUGGCUCAGAUUGAACGCUGGCGGCGUGCUUAACACAUGCAAGUCGUGCGAGAAAGGUUCCUUCGGGGACUGAGUAGAGCGGCGCACGGGUGAGUAACGCGUGGGUGACCUACCCAGGAGACCGGGAUAACAGUGGGAAACUGCUGCUAAUACCGGGUACGCUUCAUAUUUCACGUAUGGGGGAAAGGCGGCCUCUGCUUGCAAGCUGCCACUCUUGGAUGGGCCCGCGUCUCAUUAGCUUGUUGGUAGGGUAACGGCCUACCAAGGCGACGAUGAGUAGCUGGUCUGAGAGGAUGAUCAGCCACACUGGGACUGGAACACGGCCCAGACUCCUACGGGAGGCAGCAGUGGGGAAUAUUGCGCAAUGGGCGAAAGCCUGACGCAGCGACGCCGCGUGAGGGAAGAAGGCCUUCGGGUCGUAAACCUCUGUCAGGAGGGAAGAAACCAUGGGAGUCGAAUAGGCUCUCGUGCUGACGGUACCUCCGGAGGAAGCACCGGCUAACUCCGUGCCAGCAGCCGCGGUAAUACGGAGGGUGCAAGCGUUAAUCGGAAUCACUGGGCGUAAAGCGCACGUAGGCGGUGCCGUAAGUCGGAUGUGAAAGCCCUCGGCUCAACCGGGGAACUGCAUUCGAUACUGCGGUGCUUGAGUGUCGGAGAGGGUGGCGGAAUUCCAGGUGUAGGAGUGAAAUCCGUACCGUCAAUCCUUUGAGUUUAUCCUGAG
RNAcentral lists this ribosomal RNA (741 nucleotides) under uncultured bacterium. Its description in RNAcentral is "bacterial SSU rRNA". It matches the Rfam family "Bacterial small subunit ribosomal RNA", at positions 1 to 715 of the family's 1533-position model. The record is from RNAcentral.